Mugil cephalus (flathead mullet) is the source of this 540-nucleotide long non-coding RNA. RefSeq lists it as uncharacterized. NCBI's taxonomy places the organism in Eukaryota, Metazoa, Chordata, Actinopteri, Mugiliformes, Mugilidae. The record is from RefSeq and is a predicted model, not a curated record. The transcript is spliced from 3 exons.
UGAUGUGUGUGGCAGCUGCAGCCAAUCAGGAGGAAAUCUGUGGCGUCUGUCUUUCCAUCAGCGCGCCCAUAAACGUCGAGGUGGCUGUAAAACGGAGCGGCUGAUUUAAGAGCCGCUGAUUUUUAUUGCAGCCAUCUUUGUUUUGGUCGCAGACAGAUUCCAUUCCCACGUCGUCAGGUUGUAUUUGAGCAGGAGCUGCAGAAUGGGACAGAAAGAUGAGUUUCUUCAGGCCUCCGUGCAUCAGGAUGACGGACACUCACCUGUUUUCCUGCCUCCAGCCACCAGGGGGAGCUCUACAUACUUCAGCUUCACUGUAGAGGACCUGUCAUGUUGUCCACUAGUUAUACAGGCUAUGCUUUGUCGGCCUUUCACUCACGUAUGGGAACCCAUCGCCGUGACCUCCUCCACCCUCUGGCUCACAGCGAGGCGUCGACCUUUAACCCCAAUUUGUCUUCCACGCUGCUGCUAGCGUCGGACAUGACAGCUGAGAUGAAGCGUGGUGCUGAGGGGAAUCCACACACUUUCCCUCCUGUCGGUUUG